Octopus sinensis (East Asian common octopus) is the source of this 72-nucleotide non-coding RNA. Lineage: Eukaryota; Metazoa; Mollusca; Cephalopoda; Octopoda; Octopodidae. The record is from the annotation of a RefSeq genome assembly.
GGUCCUGUAGUGUAGUGGUUAUCACAUCGGACUCUGAAUCCGGUAACCCGAGUUCGAAUCUCGGCAGGACCU